RNAcentral lists this ribosomal RNA (468 nucleotides) under uncultured bacterium. Its description in RNAcentral is "partial 16S ribosomal RNA". It matches the Rfam family "Bacterial small subunit ribosomal RNA", at positions 28 to 507 of the family's 1533-position model. The record is from RNAcentral.
GAUGAACGCUGGCGGCGUGCUUAACACAUGCAAGUCGAACGGAAAGGCCCUGCUUUUUUGGGGUGCUCGAGUGGCGAACGGGUGAGUAACACGUGAGUAACCUGCCCUACACUUUGGGAUAAGUUCAGGAAACUGGGGCUAAUACCGGAUAGGAGCCCCUGCUGGAUGGUAGGGGGGGGAACUUUUCGGCGGGUGGGGAUGGAUUGGCGGAUUAUCAGCUUGCUGGUGGGGUGGUGGCAUACCAAGGCUGUGGCGGGUCGCCGGCCGGGGAGGGGGAACGGCGACAAUGGGACUGAGAUACGGCCCAGACUCCUACGGGAGGCAGCAGUGGGGAAUAUUGCACAAUGGGCGGAAGCCUGAUGCAGCGACGCCGCGUGUGGGAUGACGGCCUUCGGGUUGUAAACCGCUUUCGCUUGUGACGAAGCGGGAGUGACGGUACCGGGUGAAGAAGCACCGGCUAACUACGUG